GUGCAAUGACUGAAUUUUCAGAAGUAAAGAUCAGAACCCAGUGUCUGCCAAAAGAUUUUUAGUGUGAUUUCUGAGUAGGAGAGGCAGCCUGGGUCAUUCACUCUAGAUGCCAAAAUAAUGGAAUUUCUGAAACAAUCUGAGGGGGUUAUUAUUACAAAUAGAUUGAAACUGGGCCUGUCCAAAAAAAUCCCCAAUCCCAUUCCCUUUUUGGAUCCUGUUGGAGCUGAAUUCCUCUUGACACAAUAGAGGUUUAAAAGUUAGCAUUCAGCCUGCCUUAUCCUAACUCCCCUAGGUGCAAGGCCUCACAGCCCUUCCUCCCUGUGAGAUCUCCCAGGAUCAAGCACUCCUAACUUUUCAGUUGUCUCAGCGACAUCCCCAGGCACUCUGUCUGCCUUAACCUGCCAGCGUAGCUGUUUCCUUGACUCUGUCAGCCUCUCUGAUUCCCUGUGAGCACCCCGGUCCCCAGCCCCUGCUUGGCGUGUGGCUGAGCCAGCUCCGAUAGCAAUCCUGCUGAGGCUAGCACAGACGGUCCUGGGCCAGGGUAAGCUGAGGCCAGGAGAAUGAAAUUGCUGGGUAAUGAAAGGAGGGCGAUAGGCCCAGAGUCGGAGAAAAGAGUUUGCCAGGAAACCAGACAGAGGGGGGCUGAGUGGAAGAGAGAAGUCAGAGCAGUACUCACAGAACAUCUUGGGGCCGCUAAAGGAAGUGGGAGAGAGGUAGGAACUAAAUGUGCAUGGCAGUGUUGUUUCUCAGUGUGAGAAAGGCUGGCUGGCUGUCACAGAAAUAUCGAGGUAAAUGCAUGGAUCCAUUACUGGAAGGACAAGCAAAAGGCUCCAGUGGGACCCAGGGUGUUCUGCUGGGCAACAGGGAGAGAACAUGGGUCAGAAAGACCUGCUCCCCACCCUGGCUGUGCGACGUGGAGCUGGCUUCUUCACCCCCUGAGCUUUAUGGCACUUGCAGCAGGAAGAAGUUACUUGUUGGCCUUUGGUUUCCCAGGAUCCAGGACGACCUACUGCAGGGCUGUCAUGAACAUCAGCCAGGGCUCUUGGUUGAAAUGGAACCAACUUUAGGGUUGGCACCUUUGGAAGAUUCUCCCCCAUCACUUACUAUUAAUCCAUGAAACCUCUGCCUGGGCCAAUGAUAGUAGCUGUAUAAGCUGAAUAAUGGCCACCCAAAGAUAUCCCUGGAACCUGCAAAUGUUGCCUUAUUUGGAAAAAGGGUCUUUGCAGUUGUGAUUAGGUUUAAGGAUCUUGAGAUGUGGAGACUGUCCUGGAUUACCUCGGUGGACCCUAAAUGCAAUCAGAAGGGUCCUCAUAAGAGAGAGGCAGAGGAAAUCUGACACACAGAGGAGAAGGCAAUGUAAAGGUGGGGCAGAGAGAUUUGAAGGCGCUGGCCUUGAAGAUUGGAGUGACACAGCCCCAAGCCCAGGAAUUCUGGAAGCCACCAGGAGCUGGAAGAGGCAAGGAACGGAUUCUCACCCAGAGCCUCCAGCGGGAGUGCAGCCCUGCUGGCACUUUCAUUUCAAACCAGUGAUGUUGAUUUUGGACUUCUGGCCACCAGAACUGUGACAGAAUACAUUUCCAGUUUGUGGUAAUUUGUUAUGGUAGCCACAGGACAUUAAUACAGCAGCCAUACCCAAAACAGUUUUCUACUACCUUUCACUCACUGUUGCAUGCUCACUUUAAUUUUUCUUUUUUUUUUUUUGAGACAGAGUCUCGCUUUGUUGCCCAGGCUACAGUGAGUGCCGGGGCCUCAGCCUAGCUCACAGCAACCUCAAACUCCUGGGCUUAAGAGAUCCAGCUGCCUCAGCCUCCCGAGUAGCUGGGACUACAGGCAUGCGCCACCAUGCCCAGUUAAUUUUUUUUUCUAUAUAUAUUAGUUGGCCAAUUGAUUUCUUCCUAUUUAUAGUAGCUCACUUUAAUUUCAAGCAUUAAUUUCAAGUAACUCUAUUGACCAUCCCCCACUUUCCUCUCUUUUCCAGGAAAGGAAGCCAUUUUGCUGACAGCAGCAUAUGACACUUUUUAAAAGUUCUUUAGUAGUCUUAGGCUUCUGGCAUAUAUCUUUUUCUUCUCCCUUUUCUUUUACUCUUUCUCAGUAAUUAAAGGAGAAGAAAGUAUUUUGAAAGCUAGUAUAGUUUAUACUUUCUCAACCAAAACUCUCUGUUCCAUAGCCAAUACUGCUGUGAUCUUCAGUACAACGAUGGUCUUCAUCAUCAUGCCCUUACGACUUUGCAAAAUCCUGAAGAGUUUUCUAAGAAACUUAAAGAAAGGUUAAAUUUACCAGUUUCUCUAUAUCCUCAGAAAAAGUGAUAGCCAUGUAAUCAGUUUGGAUCCUUGGACUAUGUUUAGGCAACAUAGAGUUGUGAAGCCAGAAGGCUGGUAGAUUGAGGAGAAAUGGAAGGAUUAAGGAACUGGAGAUCUUAAGUGAGGUAAUAGUUAAAGCAGAGGAAUGAAAGAGUUGGAAUGGAAAGGGAGACUCAGGAGUUUAGGGUUGAAGCUAUUGUGAGUGACGUCAAAAUCCUAAGGGAGAACUGGAGUAGCUUACAUAAGGUGAUGACAAACCAAAACUAUGAAGACAUCCAAAAGAUCAGUGUUUGCUAGGGGUUAUGGGGAGGGAGGGAUGAAUAGGUGGAACACAGGGUAUUUUUUAGGGUAGUGAAACUACUCUGUAUAAUACUGGAAUUGUGUAUACAUGGCAUUAUGAAUUUGUCAAAACCCAUAGAAUAUACAACACAAGGAGUGAACCCUAAUGUAAACUAUGGGCUUUAGUUAAUAACAAGGUAUCAAUAUUGACUGAUCAAUCAUAACAAAUGUACCACAAUGAUGCAAGAUGUUAAAAACAGGUGAAACUGGGGUGAGGGUGGAGGUGAGGUGGUAUAUAGGAACUCUCUGUGCUUUCAGCUAAACUGUUCUGUAAAUCUAAAAUUGCUCAAAAAAUAAAGUCUAUUAAUUAAAAAAAAAAAAAAACCAAUAAUAUACUCCAACCCUCAAAUGUGGAGUUCGUUGGUUCGUGAUAAAAUCAGAUGCCAGUUUUCCCCAACAGAAUAUUAAACAUAAGUCUAAGGAUCUUACAAUAGAAUUAUCUCUAAAAUGGUAAAAUAUACUUAUGAAAAUAUUAUUGCAGUGUGUUAAAAGUGAAACAGUAUCAAUACGUUAAAUGUUUUUUAAAGAAAAAAAUUAUAAGUAAACAGCAAGAAAACAUUUGAAUAGAAAAAUAGGCAACAGGCCAGGAGCAGUGGCUCACGCCUGUAAUCCCAGCACUCUGGGAGGCCGAGGUGGGAGUCAAGGUCAGGAGUUCGAAACCAGCCUAAGCAAGAGCGAGACCCCGUUUCUACUAUAAAUACAAAGAAAUUAAUUGGCCAACUAAUAUAUAGAGAAAAAAUUAGCCGGGCAUGGUGGCGCAUGCCUGUAGUCCCAGCCACUCAGGAAGCUGAGGCAGUAGGACUGCUUGAGCCCAGGAGUUUGAGGUUGCUGUGAGCUAGGCUGACGCCACGGCACGUACUCUAACCUGGGCAACAAAGCGAGACUGUCUCAAAAAAUAAAUAAAUAGAUAAAUAAGAAAAAUAAGCAAUAAAUAUGAACAGAGGGUUCACAAAAAAAGAAAUAUAAAUGGCCAAUUAAUAAUCAGACUGAAAUAAUACUCAAAGAAAUGAAGAAGAAUGCCAAUAUUCAGUUGUCUAGAGGGUGUGGAGGAAUUGAGCACUCUUUUACACUGUUCAUCAAUGUAUAAUAUACAUGACUAUGACCUGUCACUGGGCAAUUUCACAGUAUACAUACUAUGAAAUUAAAAUAUGCAUACUCUUUACCAGUCCUACUCCCAGAAAUUUAUACUUAGGAAAUAACCAGAGGAAUUGGCAGUGUAUAGCAAUUUAUAAUAUAGUACAGUCUUUAUUAUAACAGGAAAAACUGGAAAUAACCUAAAUGUAGGAGAUUGAUUAAAUAAAUGUUAGGACACCAUACAAUGAAGCAGUAUAAAGUGAUCAAAAUUGUAAUUAAAUAUUUUGUAAUUCAUUGACACAAAAAGACCUCUACAAUAUAUUGUCAAAUCAUAAAAAGUUAAAAGGCAACCUGUGUCAGAUAGCUUAUGUAUACAUUUAUGAGUGGCAACAUUAUAUAGUGAGUCAAGGCCAAGGCUUGACAGACAGCAUCAGACAGACCUAUAAGCAGAGCUCUGGGCUCAGGUGCUUAUUGGAUGUGGAAACUUGGGUACAUUAGGUAGCUCCCCUAAGCCAUAGUUUCUCAUUUGCAAAUUCAGGAUAAUAACAGUAUCUACCCCUUGGGGAUAUUGUGCAAAUUAAAUAAAAUCACUUAAGCAAAGUUAUGAAUUAUGGCAAAAAAAAUUGUCUGAAAAAUUACUAAAAUUUUAAUAAUGGUUGCCAUUGAAUGGUAGGUUUGGGGGUGAUUUAUGCCCUCUUUUACAAUUUUCUAAAUUUAACUAAAAAUAUAUGCAAACAUAGUAAUUUUUACUUAAAUAAACAACAAAAUAUCCCAAGCCUUGGACCAAAUGGAAAUAAAGCUUUUUGCAGCAAAAAAAAAAAAAAAAUGUUUAUUUAUUACAUACCAAGAAAAGAGAGUAAAAUACUUCCAUAUUAUUUUAAAUUUUAUAGUGAGGAUACAUUUAUUUACUAUUAAUGCUUAUACAAUUCUUAAAACAGACUGCUAAGAAAUAUCCUAAAAUACAAAAAGGAAUUAACCUCUGGAUGUUAGGAUUCUAGAUGACUUAUUUCUUUCUGUACGAUUUUUCUCCAUUUUCUAAGCUCACAAUAAUAGGUAAUACUUGUAUAAUAAAAAGUAUUAUAAAGAAAAAUAUUGGCUGGGCGUGGUGGCUCACGCCUGUAAUCCUAGCACUCUGGGAGGCCGAGGGAGAAUUUUGCUCAAGGUCAGGAGUUCGAAACCAGCCUGAGCAAGAGUGAGAUCCCGUCUCUACUAAAAAUAGAAAGAAAUUAAUUGGCCAACUAAUAUAUAUAGAAAAAUUUAGCCGGGCAUGGUGGCGCAUGCCUGUAGUCCCAGCUACUCGGGAGGCUGAGGCAGAAGGAUCACUUGAGCCCAGGAGUUUGAGGUUGCUGUGAGCUAGGCUGACGCCACGGCACUCACUCUAGCCUGGGCAACAAAGUGAGACUCUGUCUCAAAAAAAAAAAAAGAAAAAGAAAAAGAAAAAGAAAAAUAUUGUAGAUCAUUUAUCGACAUUGAAGUAGUUCCACAUAUAGAUUACAAAGUGAAGAAAAAAGAAAAAAGCUACAAAACAGAAUAUGAAGGUUUUUGUUUGUUUGUUUUUAAGACAGAGUCUCACUCUGUU
RNAcentral lists this long non-coding RNA (5292 nucleotides) under Microcebus murinus (gray mouse lemur). Its description in RNAcentral is "lncRNA (ENSMICG00000048241.1)". The stretch from base 4974 to 5125 matches the Rfam family "Metazoan signal recognition particle RNA". Lineage: Eukaryota; Metazoa; Chordata; Mammalia; Primates; Cheirogaleidae. The record is from RNAcentral.